UACGUAGGGUGCGAGCGUUAAUCGGAAUACUGGGCGUAAAGCGUGCGCAGGCGGUGAUGUAAGACAGAUGUGAAAUCCCCGGGCUCAACCUGGGAACUGCAUUUGUGACUGCAUCGCUGGAGUGCGGCAGAGGGGGAUGGAAUUCCGCGUGUAGCAGUGAAAUGCGUAGAUAUGCGGAGGAACACCGAUGGCGAAGGCAAUCCCCUGGGCCUGCACUGACGCUCAUGCACGAAGCGUGGGGAG
This 243-nucleotide ribosomal RNA is filed under the name uncultured bacterium. RNAcentral describes it as "partial 16S ribosomal RNA". It matches the Rfam family "Bacterial small subunit ribosomal RNA", at positions 524 to 768 of the family's 1533-position model. The record is from RNAcentral.